RNAcentral lists this unclassified non-coding RNA (400 nucleotides) under uncultured bacterium. Its description in RNAcentral is "contains 16S-23S intergenic spacer region". The record is from RNAcentral.
UCCUAUCCCAAACAAACUUGAUUAGGGGCAAUCUUCUAAGGUCGGUCGGUCCUCCCCGCUUAAUGUCUAUCUAUUAAACUCAGUCCUAACGGCGCAACUCAGAACGGGGGUUUCGUUCGUUUGUGGAAAUUAACCCUACGCUUCACAACACGAUCUGACGACAGCCAUGCAACACUUGUCAUUUUCCUACUUUCGAUUUUUUAUUGUAUUGAAAGAAUAAAAACAUGAUUAAGAAUUGGUAAGAUUUUCCGAGGGUAAUCAAUUUACACCACAUGCUCCACCGCUAGUAAGAGCUCCCGUCAAUUCCCUUGAGUUUCAACCUUGCGAUCGUAUACCCCAGGCGGACAAUUUAACGCGUUAGCUGUGAAAUCCAGAACACCAAAGCUCUAAAUUUUAAUCG